UUCAACCUGAUGAGACAAGGGUUGC
Molecule: non-coding RNA, 25 nt
Filed under: Rattus norvegicus (Norway rat)
Lineage: Eukaryota; Metazoa; Chordata; Mammalia; Rodentia; Muridae
Source: RNAcentral